RNAcentral lists this ribosomal RNA (440 nucleotides) under uncultured bacterium. RNAcentral's name for it is "bacterial SSU rRNA". It matches the Rfam family "Bacterial small subunit ribosomal RNA", at positions 958 to 1399 of the family's 1533-position model. The record is from RNAcentral.
AACGCGAAGAACCUUACCAGGGCUUGACAUCCCUCUGAAACCUCUAGAGAUAGAGGCUCCCUUCGGGGCAGAGGUGACAGGUGGUGCAUGGUUGUCGUCAGCUCGUGUCGUGAGAUGUUGGGUUAAGUCCCGCAACGAGCGCAACCCUUGUCCUUAGUUGCCAGCAUUUAGUUGGGCACUCUAAGGAGACUGCCGUCGACAAGACGGAGGAAGGUGGGGAUGACGUCAAAUCAUCAUGCCCCUUAUGUCCUGGGCUACACACGUGCUACAAUGGAUGGUACAACGGGCUGCAAACUCGCGAGAGUAAGCCAAUCCCUAAAAACCAUUCUCAGUUCGGAUUGCAGGCUGCAACUCGCCUGCAUGAAGUCGGAAUCGCUAGUAAUCGCGGAUCAGCAUGCCGCGGUGAAUACGUUCCCGGGCCUUGUACACACCGCGUGUCU